This 301-nucleotide ribosomal RNA is filed under the name uncultured bacterium. RNAcentral's name for it is "partial 16S ribosomal RNA". It matches the Rfam family "Bacterial small subunit ribosomal RNA", at positions 509 to 807 of the family's 1533-position model. The record is from RNAcentral.
CAGUAGCCACGGUAAAACGAAGGGUGCAAGCGUUACUCGGAAUUACUGGGCGUAAAGCGUGCGUAGGUGGUGGUUUAAGUCCGUUGUGAAAGCCCUGGGCUCAACCUGGGAAUUGCAGUGGAUACUGGGUCACUAGAGUGUGGUAGAGGAUAGUGGAAUUUCCGGUGUAGCAGUGAAAUGCGUAGAGAUCGGAAGGAACAUCUGUGGCGAAGGCGACUAUCUGGGCCAACACUGACACUGAGGCACGAAAGCGUGGGGAGCAAACAGGAUUAGAUACCCCCGUAGUCCCUGUCUCUUAUAC